CUAAGUUUGAUGGCGACCGGCGCACGGGUGAGUAACACGUAUCCAACCUGCCGAUAACUCCGGAAUAGCCUUUCGAAAGAAAGAUUAAUACCGGAUGGCAUACGAAUAUCGCAUGAUAUUUUUAUUUAAAGAAUUUCGGUUAUCGAUGGGGAUGCGUUCCAUUAGUUUGUUGGCGGGGUAACGGGCCCACCAAGACUACGAUGGAUAGGGGUUCUGAGAGGAAGGUCCCCCACAUUGGAACUGAGACACGGUCCAAACUCCUACGGGAGGCAGCAUG
RNAcentral lists this ribosomal RNA (277 nucleotides) under uncultured bacterium. Its description in RNAcentral is "partial 16S ribosomal RNA". It matches the Rfam family "Bacterial small subunit ribosomal RNA", at positions 79 to 353 of the family's 1533-position model. The record is from RNAcentral.